AAUAUUGGACAAUGGGCGAAAGCCUGAUCCAGCCAUGCCGCGUGGGUGAAGAAGGNCCNNGGGUUNUNAAGCCCUUUUGUUGGNNNNNAAAUCUUUCCGGUUAAUACCCGGAGAGGAUGACGGUACCCAAAGAAUAAGCACCGGCUAACUUCGUUCCAGCAGCCGCGGUAAUACGAAGGGUGCAAGCGUUACCCGGAAUUACUGGGCGUAAAGCGUGCGUAGGUGGUUCGUUAAGUCUGAUGUAAAAGCCCCGGGCUCAACCUGGGAAUUGCAUUGGAUACUGGCGGGCUAGAGUACGGUAGAGGGUGGCGGAAUUCCUGGUGUAGCAGUGAAAUGCGUAGAGAUCAGGAGGAACAUCCGUGGCGAAGGCGGCCACCUGGACCAGUACUGACACUGAGGCACGAAAGCGUGGGGAGCAAAC
Molecule: ribosomal RNA, 421 nt
Filed under: uncultured bacterium
Lineage: Bacteria
Description: partial 16S ribosomal RNA
Rfam family: Bacterial small subunit ribosomal RNA
Source: RNAcentral